UCUCCUACCCAAGCUGGGCACACAGUCAGGAGCCCACACAGUAGCGGGCACAAAAGCCAGGACCCCUGGCCCUGGAGUAGAAGGGUCAGAAAUAUUGGCAGGUACCGGGGAAUAAUGGGAGCCGACUGGAUGCCACAACCCGAGAGAGCUGGAAGGAGCUGAUGGCUGUCCUUCAUAUAGCAGGACCUCCCUAAGAGGACAUGAAGGCACUGCACGCGUGUGAUCCACAGACAUACAAGCAGGCAAAACACCCAUACAUAUAAAAUAAUGAAGAUGAUGAUAGGAAAAACUUAAAAAAAGAAGAAGAAGAAGAAGAAAAAGAAAAAGAAAAAGAAAAAGAAGAAGAAGCUGAGCAAGUCACAAGGAGCAAGCCAGUAAGCCGCCUUCUCUCAUGGCCUCUGCUUCAGCUCCAGCCCUGGCUUCCCUCCAAGACUGACUUCAAAAGAUGGUGACAGACCCCACUUGACCCCAGAGGGGGAACGUGCCCUGGGAAUGGGUGACACCACCAGCUGAGCCCCUCAGGAAGACAUUCUGGGAGACCACAGGAAAAAACAAAGGACAGAACUCUAACUAACCGUAAAAUCAGACACAAACAACUGUCACGAGAACAGAUCUCGGGCUGAUGGCUCAGUGGAUAAAGGCGCUUGUCCCCAAGCCGAGUGACCUGAAUUCAGCCCCCAGGAGCUCCGUGGUAGACAAGAACCAGCCCUCAGAUAUCAUCCUCUGACCUCCACGCUCGCUCAUGCUGUGAUUCCCCCAACACACCAAUAAAAUGUAAAAUGAUAGCAAAUUCUGAAAAUGAGAUCGAAAUAAA
Molecule: long non-coding RNA, 814 nt
Organism: Meriones unguiculatus (Mongolian gerbil)
Lineage: Eukaryota; Metazoa; Chordata; Mammalia; Rodentia; Muridae
Exons: 3
Source: RefSeq, a predicted model, not a curated record